GAGGGUAUAGCUCGGUGGUAGAGUGCAUGCCUAGCAUGCAUGAGGUCCUGGGUUCAAUCCCCAGCACCUCCA
RNAcentral lists this transfer RNA (72 nucleotides) under Camelus bactrianus (Bactrian camel). It matches the Rfam family "tRNA". Rfam says of the family: Transfer RNA (tRNA) molecules are approximately 80 nucleotides in length. Lineage: Eukaryota; Metazoa; Chordata; Mammalia; Artiodactyla; Camelidae. RNAcentral also lists the same sequence under 2 other names. The record is from Rfam by way of RNAcentral.